Molecule: ribosomal RNA, 1833 nt
Filed under: Escherichia coli
Lineage: Bacteria; Pseudomonadati; Pseudomonadota; Gammaproteobacteria; Enterobacterales; Enterobacteriaceae
Description: partial 23S ribosomal RNA
Rfam family: Bacterial large subunit ribosomal RNA
Source: RNAcentral
CGGGACACGUGGUAUCCUGUCUGAAUAUGGGGGGACCAUCCUCCAAGGCUAAAUACUCCUGACUGACCGAUAGUGAACCAGUACCGUGAGGGAAAGGCGAAAAGAACCCCGGCGAGGGGAGUGAAAAAGAACCUGAAACCGUGUACGUACAAGCAGUGGGAGCACGCUUAGGCGUGUGACUGCGUACCUUUUGUAUAAUGGGUCAGCGACUUAUAUUCUGUAGCAAGGUUAACCGAAUAGGGGAGCCGAAGGGAAACCGAGUCUUAACUGGGCGUUAAGUUGCAGGGUAUAGACCCGAAACCCGGUGAUCUAGCCAUGGGCAGGUUGAAGGUUGGGUAACACUAACUGGAGGACCGAACCGACUAAUGUUGAAAAAUUAGCGGAUGACUUGUGGCUGGGGGUGAAAGGCCAAUCAAACCGGGAGAUAGCUGGUUCUCCCCGAAAGCUAUUUAGGUAGCGCCUCGUGAAUUCAUCUCCGGGGGUAGAGCACUGUUUCGGCAAGGGGGUCAUCCCGACUUACCAACCCGAUGCAAACUGCGAAUACCGGAGAAUGUUAUCACGGGAGACACACGGCGGGUGCUAACGUCCGUCGUGAAGAGGGAAACAACCCAGACCGCCAGCUAAGGUCCCAAAGUCAUGGUUAAGUGGGAAACGAUGUGGGAAGGCCCAGACAGCCAGGAUGUUGGCUUAGAAGCAGCCAUCAUUUAAAGAAAGCGUAAUAGCUCACUGGUCGAGUCGGCCUGCGCGGAAGAUGUAACGGGGCUAAACCAUGCACCGAAGCUGCGGCAGCGACGCUGAUGCGUUGUUGGGUAGGGGAGCGUUCUGUAAGCCUGCGAAGGUGUGCUGUGAGGCAUGCUGGAGGUAUCAGAAGUGCGAAUGCUGACAUAAGUAACGAUAAAGCGGGUGAAAAGCCCGCUCGCCGGAAGACCAAGGGUUCCUGUCCAACGUUAAUCGGGGCAGGGUGAGUCGACCCCUAAGGCGAGGCCGAAAGGCGUAGUCGAUGGGAAACAGGUUAAUAUUCCUGUACUUGGUGUUACUGCGAAGGGGGGACGGAGAAGGCUAUGUUGGCCGGGCGACGGUUGUCCCGGUUUAAGCGUGUAGGCUGGUUUUCCAGGCAAAUCCGGAAAAUCAAGGCUGAGGCGUGAUGACGAGGCACUACGGUGCUGAAGCAACAAAUGCCCUGCUUCCAGGAAAAGCCUCUAAGCAUCAGGUAACAUCAAAUCGUACCCCAAACCGACACAGGUGGUCAGGUAGAGAAUACCAAGGCGCUUGAGAGAACUCGGGUGAAGGAACUAGGCAAAAUGGUGCCGUAACUUCGGGAGAAGGCACGCUGAUAUGUAGGUGAAGUCCCUCGCGGAUGGAGCUGAAAUCAGUCGAAGAUACCAGCUGGCUGCAACUGUUUAUUAAAAACACAGCACUGUGCAAACACGAAAGUGGACGUAUACGGUGUGACGCCUGCCCGGUGCCGGAAGGUUAAUUGAUGGGGUUAGCGCAAGCGAAGCUCUUGAUCGAAGCCCCGGUAAACGGCGGCCGUAACUAUAACGGUCCUAAGGUAGCGAAAUUCCUUGUCGGGUAAGUUCCGACCUGCACGAAUGGCGUAAUGAUGGCCAGGCUGUCUCCACCCGAGACUCAGUGAAAUUGAACUCGCUGUGAAGAUGCAGUGUACCCGCGGCAAGACGGAAAGACCCCGUGAACCUUUACUAUAGCUUGACACUGAACAUUGAGCCUUGAUGUGUAGGAUAGGUGGGAGGCUUUGAAGUGUGGACGCCAGUCUGCAUGGAGCCGACCUUGAAAUACCACCCUUUAAUGUUUGAUGUUCUAACGUGGACCCGU